This 73-nucleotide transfer RNA is filed under the name Candidatus Altarchaeales archaeon. RNAcentral describes it as "tRNA-Ile". It matches the Rfam family "tRNA". Rfam says of the family: Transfer RNA (tRNA) molecules are approximately 80 nucleotides in length. Their secondary structure includes four short double-helical elements and three loops (D, anti-codon, and T loops). Lineage: Archaea; Nanobdellati; Candidatus Altarchaeota; Candidatus Altarchaeia; Candidatus Altarchaeales. The record is from RNAcentral.
GGGGGCGUAGCUCAGGGGUAAGAGCGACGGUCUCAUAAACCGUUGGUCGCUGGUUCAAAUCCAGCCGCCCCCA